RNAcentral lists this ribosomal RNA (253 nucleotides) under uncultured bacterium. RNAcentral's name for it is "partial 16S ribosomal RNA". It matches the Rfam family "Bacterial small subunit ribosomal RNA", at positions 524 to 776 of the family's 1533-position model. The record is from RNAcentral.
UACGGAGGGGGCUAGCGUUGUUCGGAAUUACUGGGCGUAAAGCGCACGUAGGCGGCUUUGUAAGUUAGAGGUGAAAGCCCGGGGCUCAACUCCGGAAUUGCCUUUAAGACUGCAUCGCUAGAAUUGUGGAGAGGUAGGUGGAAUUCCUAGUGUAGAGGUGAAAUUCGUAGAUAUUAGGAAGAACACCAGUGGCGAAGGCGGCUUACUGGCUCGUAACUGACGCUGAGGCGCGAAAGCGUGGGGAGCAAACAGG